UGACAUUUUGAUGCUAUUAAGGUCCAUUGU
RNAcentral lists this non-coding RNA (30 nucleotides) under Rattus norvegicus (Norway rat). The record is from RNAcentral. Lineage: Eukaryota; Metazoa; Chordata; Mammalia; Rodentia; Muridae.